GGGAAGGGCAGAUUAACUUCUGCUUUCUUCUCAGAGAAGCUUGGCUGACUGGUUCCCUGAUGUGUUACCUGCUUCUGCCACUGAUUGAAACUGCAGAACUUCUCAUUCGUCCCCAAGACUUCCAGUAGGGAAUCAGCUCUAAAAGAAACCAGACCAACGUUUGCCAGCCCCUGCAUUCUGGUGACUGAGGAGAGGAGAGUGGGCAGCGGCUACCUCUAUGUGAGGAAUGGAUAGAAUACGUUCAGGCCAUCAUCAUGCAAAGCUCCAGUAGCAGUGACGCCUACACGGAAGACUUGGAACUGCAAACAGAGGCCGGGGUCACCUCAGUGACAUCUGACG
This is a long non-coding RNA of Bos taurus (domestic cattle), 339 nucleotides long. NCBI's taxonomy places the organism in Eukaryota, Metazoa, Chordata, Mammalia, Artiodactyla, Bovidae. The record is from Ensembl.